AUGGCUCAUUAAAUCAGUUAUGGUUCAUUAGAUAUUACCAUACUUUACUUGGAUAACUGUGGUAAUUCUAGAGCUAAUACAUGCAAACCGAGUUCCGACCGGUGACGGUAGGGACGCUUUUAUUAGAUCAAAAUCAAUACGUUUGUUUUUGGACAAAUGUAAACUAUUGGUGACUCUGAAUAACUUUUUGAUGAUCGCAUGGUCUUUGUACCGGCGACAAAUCUUUCAAAUGUCUGCCUUAUCAACUGUCGAUGUUAGGUUCUGCGCCUAACAUGGUUGUAACGGGUAACGGGGAAUCAGGGUUUGAUUCCGGAGAGGGAGCCUGAGAAACGGCUACCACAUCCAAGGAAGGCAGCAGGCACGCAAAUUACCCACUCCCAGCACGGGGAGGUAGUGACGAAAAAUAACGAUACGGGACUCAUCCGAGGCCCCGUAAUCGGAAUGAGUACACUUUAAAUACUUUAACAAGUAACAAUCGGAGGGCAAGUCUGGUGCCAGCAGCUGCGGUAAUACCAGCUCCGAUAGCGUAUAUUAAAGUG
RNAcentral lists this ribosomal RNA (539 nucleotides) under Arixenia esau. RNAcentral describes it as "SSU rRNA". It matches the Rfam family "Eukaryotic small subunit ribosomal RNA", at positions 93 to 611 of the family's 1831-position model. Lineage: Eukaryota; Metazoa; Arthropoda; Insecta; Dermaptera; Arixeniidae. The record is from RNAcentral.